This 253-nucleotide ribosomal RNA is filed under the name uncultured bacterium. RNAcentral describes it as "partial 16S ribosomal RNA". It matches the Rfam family "Bacterial small subunit ribosomal RNA", at positions 524 to 776 of the family's 1533-position model. The record is from RNAcentral.
UACGUAGGGGGCAAGCGUUGUCCGGAUUUAUUGGGCGUAAAGAGCGUGUAGGCGGCCAGGUAGGUCCGUUGUGAAAACUCGAGGCUUAACCUCGAGACGUCGAUGGAAACCAUCUGGCUAGAGUCCGGAAGAGGAGAGUGGAAUUCCUGGUGUAGCGGUGAAAUGCGCAGAUAUCAGGAAGAACACCCGUGGCGAAAGCGGCCACCUAGCCCAUACCUGACGCUGAUGUGCGACAGCGUGGGGAGCGAACUGG